GACGUAGGGGGCGAGCGUUGUCCGGAUUUAUUGGGCGUAAAGAGCGCGUAGGCGGCCCGGAAAGUCGGAUGUGAAAACCCGGGGCUCAACCCCGGGCCUGCAUCCGAUACUCCUGGGCUGGAGGCAGGUAGGGGAGAUCGGAAUUCCUGGUGUAGCGGUGAAAUGCGCAGAUAUCAGGAGGAACACCGGUGGCGAAGGCGGAUCUCUGGGCCUGUCCUGACGCUGAGGCGCGAAAGCUAGGGGAGCGAACAGG
RNAcentral lists this ribosomal RNA (253 nucleotides) under uncultured bacterium. RNAcentral describes it as "partial 16S ribosomal RNA". It matches the Rfam family "Bacterial small subunit ribosomal RNA", at positions 524 to 776 of the family's 1533-position model. The record is from RNAcentral.